Molecule: ribosomal RNA, 497 nt
Filed under: uncultured bacterium
Lineage: Bacteria
Description: partial 16S ribosomal RNA
Rfam family: Bacterial small subunit ribosomal RNA
Source: RNAcentral
GAUGAACGCUGGCGGCGUGCCUAAUACAUGCAAGUCGAGCGAACAGACGAGGAGCUUACUCCUCUGACGUUAGCGGCGGACGGGUGAGUAACACGUGGAUAACCUACCUAUAAGACUGGGAUAACUUCGGGAAACCGGAGCUAAUACCGGAUAAUAUAUUGAACCGCAUGGUUCAAUAGUGAAAGACGGUUUUGCUGUCACUUAUAGAUGGAUCCGCGCCGCAUUAGCUAGUUGGUAAGGUAACGGCUUACCAAGGCGACGGUGCGUAGCCGACCUGAGAGGGUGAUCGGCCACACUGGAACUGAGACACGGUCCAGACUCCUACGGGAGGCAGCAGUAGGGAAUCUUCCGCAAUGGGCGAAAGCCUGACGGAGCAACGCCGCGUGAGUGAUGAAGGUCUUCGGAUCGUAAAACUCUGUUAUUAGGGAAGAACAAAUGUGUAAGUAACUAUGCACGUCUUGACGGUACCUAAUCAGAAAGCCACGGCUAACUACGUG